RNAcentral lists this ribosomal RNA (254 nucleotides) under uncultured bacterium. Its description in RNAcentral is "partial 16S ribosomal RNA". It matches the Rfam family "Bacterial small subunit ribosomal RNA", at positions 524 to 776 of the family's 1533-position model. The record is from RNAcentral.
UACGAAGGGGGCUAGCGUUGUUCGGAGUUACUGGGCGUAAAGGGCGCGCAGGCGGCUGCUCAAGUCAGGCGUGAAAGGCCUGGGCUCAACCCGGGAAUUGCGCUUGAGACUGGGCUGGCUUGAGUGCGGGAGAGGAUGGUGGAAUUCCCAGUGUAGAGGUGAAAUUCGUAGAUAUUGGGAAGAACACCGGUGGCGAAGGCGGCCAUCUGGACCGCAACUGACGCUGAGGCGCGAAAGCGUGGGGAGCGAACAGG